GAUGAACGCUGGCGGCGUGCCUAAUACAUGCAAGUCGAGCGAACAGACGAGGAGCUUGCUCCUCUGACGUUAGCGGCGGACGGGUGAGUAACACGUGGAUAACCUACCUAUAAGACUGGGAUAACUUCGGGAAACCGGAGCUAAUACCGGAUAAUAUAUUGAACCGCAUGGUUCAAUAGUGAAAGACGGUUUUGCUGUCACUUAUAGAUGGAUCCGCGCCGCAUUAGCUAGUUGGUAAGGUAACGGCUUACCAAGGCAACGAUGCGUAGCCGACCUGAGAGGGUGAUCGGCCACACUGGAACUGAGACACGGUCCAGACUCCUACGGGAGGCAGCAGUAGGGAAGCUUCCGCAAUGGGCGAAAGCCUGACGGAGCAACGCAGCGUGAGUGAUGAAGGUCUUCGGAUCGUAAAACUCUGUUAUUAGGGAAGAACAAAUGUGUAAGUAACGAUGCACGUCUGGACGGUACCUAAUCAGAAACCACGGCUAACUACGUG
This 496-nucleotide ribosomal RNA is filed under the name uncultured bacterium. RNAcentral's name for it is "partial 16S ribosomal RNA". It matches the Rfam family "Bacterial small subunit ribosomal RNA", at positions 28 to 507 of the family's 1533-position model. The record is from RNAcentral.